GCAUUGGUGGUUUAGUGGUAGAACUCUCGCCUUCCAUGCAGGAGACUCAGGUUUGAUUCCUGGCCAAUGCA
Loxodonta africana (African savanna elephant) is the source of this 71-nucleotide transfer RNA. It matches the Rfam family "tRNA". Rfam says of the family: Transfer RNA (tRNA) molecules are approximately 80 nucleotides in length. Their secondary structure includes four short double-helical elements and three loops (D, anti-codon, and T loops). The record is from Rfam. NCBI's taxonomy places the organism in Eukaryota, Metazoa, Chordata, Mammalia, Proboscidea, Elephantidae.